GACGAACGCUGGCGGCGUGCUUAACACAUGCAAGUCGAACGGAUCAUCAGGUUUUCGGAUUUGGUGGUGAGUGGCGAACGGGUGAGUAACACGUGAGUAACCUGCCCCGGACUUUGGGAUAACGACUCGAAAGGGUUGCUAAUACCGGAUAUUGAACUGUUGCCGCAUGGUGGUGGUUUGAAAGUUUUUUCGGUUCGGGAUGGGCUCGCGGCCUAUCAGCUUGUUGGUGGGGUGAUGGCCUACCAAGGCGUCGACGGGUAGCCGGCCUGAGAGGGCGACCGGCCACACUGGGACUGAGAUACGGCCCAGACUCCUACGGGAGGCAGCAGUGGGGAAUAUUGCACAAUGGACGGAAGUCUGAUGCAGCAACGCCGCGUGCGGGAUGAAGGCCUUCGGGUUGUAAACCGCUUUCACCUCCGGCGAAUUGACGGUAGGAGAAGAAGAAGCACCGGCUAACUACGUAGCCAGCAG
RNAcentral lists this ribosomal RNA (471 nucleotides) under uncultured bacterium. RNAcentral's name for it is "bacterial SSU rRNA". It matches the Rfam family "Bacterial small subunit ribosomal RNA", at positions 28 to 514 of the family's 1533-position model. The record is from RNAcentral.